GAUGAAGAACGCAGCGAAAUGCGAUAAGUAAUGUGAAUUGCAGAAUUCAGUGAAUCAUCGAAUCUUUGAACGCACAUUGCGCCGGCCAGUAUUCUGGCGGGCAUGCCUGUCUGAGCGUCAUUUCAACCCUCAUGCCCCUAGGGCGUGGUGUUGGGGAUCGGCCAAAGCCCGCGAGGGACGGCCGGCCCCUAAAUCUAGUGGCGGACCCGUCGUGGCCUCCUCUGCGAAGUAGUGAUAUUCCGCAUCGGAGAGCGAUGAGCCCCUGCCGUUAAACCCCCAACUUUCCAAGGUUGACCUCAGAUCAGGUAGGAAUACCCGCUGAACUUAAGCAUAUCAAUAAGCGGAGGA
This 348-nucleotide unclassified non-coding RNA is filed under the name soil metagenome. RNAcentral's name for it is "partial contains 5.8S ribosomal RNA, internal transcribed spacer 2, and large subunit ribosomal RNA". The stretch from base 1 to 120 matches the Rfam family "5.8S ribosomal RNA", at positions 35 to 154 of the family's 154-position model. The record is from RNAcentral.